This is a long non-coding RNA of Pseudopipra pipra, 8508 nucleotides long. RefSeq lists it as uncharacterized. Lineage: Eukaryota; Metazoa; Chordata; Aves; Passeriformes; Pipridae. The record is from RefSeq and is a predicted model, not a curated record. The transcript is spliced from 3 exons.
AGGUUGCCAGCACCUUAUCAGGUGGUGUUUGUCCAUCCGCCCCUCGGACAGGCCAGCACUGGAAGACCUGUUGUGCCAUCCUUGGGUGCAGGGCAUUCCCCUGCCCUAGAAGACGGGAGAGAUCCACGUGCUCCCUUUGAUCCCGGGGCCUGGCAGACAGCUGGGCCCUCAGCAGAACGCUGACAGCCUGGUCUGGCCCCCAGGGAAGGAGAAGGGGCCUCUGGAGAAGCUGUGCCGGGUGGGCCUGCUGCUGGAGACAUCGAGGACGAUGUCAGGGAUGACAAGCUCUCAGUUGACCUGGACGCCGGCGAGCUGAAGAGGAUGGCCUUUGAUUCUGGCCCCUUCCUCCAAGCCGUGCUCCACACGCCGUUUGCAGAUGAGUCCACACCCAGGGGGUGCUCCCGGACACGGGCAUUGCUCAGCCUGGCUGGGCACCGAAGGUUCCCCCUUUGCUGAUGGGGAACCUGAGGAAUUCUUCAGCCGGCUGCCAAGCUGCUUCUUGGCAGGAGGGCGGGCGGGUGCUCUGGGCUGGGUGUGAAAUGGGAGCCCGGCUCUGCCCCCAGCCUCUGCCACUGCCCCUUUGCUGGGCGGGGCUGGGGCAGGGGCAGCCAGCCUGCCAAAAACAAACCCCCGUGGGGGGAGCAAAGGCGGGGCUGCAGAACACCAGCUGCUUUGGGCUGCAGGCCAGGAAAGGCUUGGGCUGCCUUGGCUUAGGAGCCUUUCUUUGGGCCAGUGCAGCAGGGCAGGGAGAAGGCCUGGGUUUUCCUCAGCUGGAGGAGGUGGGGUUUCUCUUUGGCCUGCAGGGCUUGGGCCUUCCUCAGAACCCUGACAGAAGGUUAACAUUUUACCUUUUUUUCUUGUUUCCACUUUUGGUUUGUAAUCUCUGUUCAUGAAUUUGUUGUUUGUUUUCCAGGGAAGAGUUGGAGCUGGUGCCCAGUCCGGGUUGGGAAGGGCUGGGACCAUCCCUGGAGAGGAUCUGACGUCCCCUCUGAGAAGGCUGAGGACAUCCUUUGGGACACGCUCUUCUUGCGGCAGCAGAUCUUGGGAGGUAGAUGCUCAUCUUGCCCAUCUUGUCAGCAGCAGUGGGAUAAUGGCUUUGGGGAGAUGGCAGCAGGCACAUGAACAUCCCGCUCUUGCAGCUGCUGAGGAGGUUGAUCUCCUGGGCUUGGCUGGAGGAGGUGGCACCUGUGUUGAGUAAUUGCUGAAAUCCAAUCGAUCUGGGAUGACCCCAAAUGACAGUUUAGUUUUCAGCUUGCUCGAGCUGUAUCUCAGCAGCUUUUGGGUAUCAUUUUUGGCCCCCAGACAGGACACCUCUGCCUGAUCUCCCGCGGAUCCGAGGGAUCUCUGGAUCUUCACGCCAGCACCAGGACUUUGCUGCAGAAGAGCACAGAUCCCCAGCCCAGUCUGGGACACAGAACGUGUGAAAGGGCAGAAAGAUUGUGGUGUGAAUGCAGCGCCCUCAGAGCCCUUGGUGUGAGCCCGGAAAGGAAAAUCAAGCUGAGGGACAAGAUCAGUCUAAUUUGGGGACAUUGUUGGAGGUUGGAGUUGCAGUUCUGGAAGAAAUCCCUGAGGAAAUGGUGCCCCGGGGAGAGGAAGAGGAUGAGAGCGUGGGCAGCCUGCUUCAAACAUCCCCCCAGGAGACUUGGGAUCAGUCCCUGUGCAUCCUGUAAGAAAGAUGGACACUGGAAAUGGGAUUGUCCGCAACUGAAACUUCAGAACCCUCCGAACCCUCUCGUGGCAUCACUGAAGACGACUGAGGGGGCACCAGAGGAUUCUUCCCCAUCAGAACAUCUGGUUCCAGCCAAGCUAAGCACAAUUGUUUGUGGCUGUGGGAACUUGUUCCUCUGUGUUAAAUGCAGGGAAAUGAAACUCAAGGGACAAUUCUAGAACAAUUGUCUGGUGUGCCAGGGAAUUGGGAAACUGGGCCAUUUUUAAUGCUGUGGCUUUGAAAUUGGGAAAACAGUGGUUGGCUCCCCAGUUUUUGUAUUUCCCCAAUUCCCCAAAGCCUCUGCUUGGGAGAGAUCUCUUGGCAAAAUGAAAUGCCACAAUCCAAUUGAAAAAUGGUCCAAUAUAGGUUAUUAUUGCAGAGCCUAAUUCUGUGGAAGUUUCUAGUUUUGCAUGAGAGUCUCCCAAAGCAGAAGUAAUCCAUCUGCCACCAUCACUUGGGGAUGCAGUGGUUCCAACAGGAUGGGCUGGAGAGGUGCCUCCAUGAUCCAAGAGAGCAGAACCCGUGAGAAUUCCAGAGAAACCUGGAGUGGGGUUGGUGAGGCCAAAGCAAUGUCCUUUGCAAAUAGAAAGUUGUAAGGGAUUCUCACCCUUUGUAGAACAAUUGAUGAAAUUUUGCUUGUGAAAAGAAUGUGAAUCUAAAUGGAAUGCUCCAGUUUUGCCAGUCAAGCAGGCAAAUGGAAGGCUAUGCCAGUUAGUCCAAGACCUUAGAGCUGUAAAGAACAGAGUAGAAGAUAUACAAGCAGUCAUAGUGAAUCCUUACACUUUGCUAACUCCCCUAAAUGAGGGUUUAAUAUGUUUCACAGCAUUAGGUUUGAAAACUGCCUUUUUGUGUCUCCCUUUGAGUUGGGAAAGUCAAGAGCUUUUUGCUUUCCAAUGGGAAAAUGCAAAGCCGGGGAGGAAAACCCAUCUGACUUUGGUGGUCCUCUUGCAGGGGUUUAAAAAUAGGCCCCAAUAUUUGGAACUCAAUUGGCAAAGGGACUGGAGGAAUGGAGAAGUCCAAACCCACCCUCUUGGAGCCUUAUUGCAGUGUGGGGAUGAUCUUUUGAUGCCACUGAUGCUGAGCAGCAACGUUGGGGUCAGACUGUGGCCCUGUGGAAUUUCCUUGGGCUGAGUGGAUAUGGGGUAUCCCAAACACAAAGUGCAAGUAGUCCAGAGCCCAGGAGCCUCCGUGGGCUUUGGAAUUCUCCAAGGACAAGGGAGGCUGGGCCAGGAAGGAAAGAAGCAACCUGUCAACUGCCCCAGCCCCAGCAAAGGAAGCCCAGAGCGGGAUUGCUUCCAGACUAGAGGAGAAGUGUAUUGGGGCAGAGCUGACUUAGGAGACAGCCCCUUGGAAAGUCCUGGUUGGGAAUUGUUUCCCAGUGGGGGCAGCUUUGUCCGGCAUGGAAAACAAUUCUCUGGAUGCACAGAACUCCCCACCACCAGGUCAGAGAUCCUGACAGAGAUCCUUCUCCCAGUAGAAGAAAAUGAGUCUAGUGCUAAGGAUUGUCAACUCCUUGAAACCGUAGAGCAAACUUUGCUCCAGGAGGCUGGGCAGUUCCCCCAAGUGGGCAAAUAAUAGUCCCUGAGCCAAUCUCCUGUGACCUGGUGGAUGGGGAACAUGAGGGGAUUCCUUGGAGUGAAGCAAAUUAUUGAAACAUUUGCCCAAGUGGGUUCUUGGUCCAAAACUGACCCCAGUUGUACAAGCAGUGAGUCAGCAGUGUGGUGUGUGGAAGAGAAAUAAUCCAAACCCUGCCACUGGAGUGGGAACAGGUGAUGGAAAAUGCAGAAAUGCUGCAGGUGAAUGUUGGCAGAUGGAUGUGACUGAAUUGCCCAGAAAAGGGGGGUGUAAAGAUCUCCUGGUCUUGGGGGAUACCUUCUCUGGGUGGCCAGAGGCUGUUCCUUGUUGCACUAAGCAGGUUGGGAAAGAGACUGCAAUCCUGUUCAGUGCAAUCCUCCCUGUAUUUGGGAUGCCUUUGGGAAUGUCAUCAGACAGAGGUUCCCACUUGACUGCAGAAACAAAAUGCUUCACUCUUGUUUUGCUCUUCUGACAACAGUUCAAACACUGUUGACGUGGGAGGAAAAUUUACAUGUCUUUUUAGUGCCAAAGGUGAUCCAAGUGUUGCCCACAAGUGUCUGUAUUAAGUAAGCAAGACUCUGUAAGGAAUCUGGAAACUGUGUGUGUAAUGUAAAGCCCUGUGUGGCUGUCACUGAAGUGCUGAGGCUGAACAACAGCCCCUGAGCCAAAGCUGAGCUCUAGAUGAACCUUCCAACCUAAUGGGCUGUGUCUCCAUGUAUCUGCUCCUGAGCUAAAACUGGGUCUAUUUGUUGGUACAAAUGUGGUGGGAUGGGACUCCACCUGUGUAUCUGCUCCUGAACCAAACAGGUGUGCUUCUUAGGAAGAUCUGUUAGUCUGGGCUCAUCAGUGAAUCCUGUUUGUAUCUGUUCCUUAACAAAAGAUGUCUGAUUGUGAGCAAAAUCUGAUCUUUCUGUAUCUGGAGAGUGGUGGAGGCCAUGGCAGUCGAUGUCUGGCCUUGUUUGGCAGUGGCUGGUGCAGGGGGAGCCUUGGUUUGGGAGAAGUAGAACAUUGCUCCCAAGAUUCUGCUCUGGCCAAAUAAGGAACAACAGAAUCUUAGAGAAGUCCUGGAGAAUUGGAUCAGGGCUGGAACUCAAGCAAACAGGAUGUGAGCUGAGCUCUGGGGACCCAGAGAAGAUCAAACCAAACAUGACGGUCUCUGUGGGGAAAAGCAGUGAUGCUGAGAACCGAGGUCAAGAAGCAGACACCUGAGCUUUGGGGGGCACCAGAUGCCAAAAAACCCACCAGAGACCCCCAGAGAAGACCCCAAAUGACCAAGUAGGGACUUGCAAUAGGGGUGUGACUGUGUAAAGCACAGUAAUGGACAUGUGUUCAGUAAGGGGGAAUAUCCAAUGCCUCUGGAAUCAGUGUGUGUAAUCCCAAGCCCUGCCUGUGUCCCUGAGCAGGCUGGAUUAGAAGAACUCUCCUGCAGGCGUCCAGCACGCUGCCCUAAAGAAUGCCUGCUUCUUAACACCUCCCAGCUGGGGUUAAGGACUUGCUUUCUGCUGCUUUUGGGCACCAUUUCUGGCCCCAGAUGGGACCCUCUGCCUGAUCUCCCGUGGAUCCGAGGGAUCUCUGGAUCUUCACGCCGGCCCCAGGACUUUCCUGGAGAAGACCACAGAUCCCCGGACUGGUCUGGGAUGGGGGAAGAUCCCAUUGGAUAAUAAGGCAUUCUUUUGGGGAAUCCUGUCCCUCUAAGACGUGUGGAUCUUCCAGCUCUUUGGGUGGGUUAUUUGGUGUUCCCCCAUUUGGUCUCUGGCUUUGUUUUCUCCACUGAUCCUUGUUUUGUGUUUGUAUUUGUUUCUGCACUGUAACAUUUGUCCAAGUGGGUUCUUGGUCCAAAACUGACCCCAGCUGUACAAGCAGUGAGUCAGCAGUGUGGUGUGUGGUAGAGAAAUAAUCCAAACCCUGCCACUGGAGUGGGAACAGGUGAUGGAAAAUGCAGAAAUGCUGCAGGUGAAUGUUGGCAGAUGGAUGUGACUGAAUUGCCCAGAAAAGGGGGGUGUAAAGAUCUCCUGGUCUUGGGGGAUACCUUCUCUGGGUGGCCAGAGGCUGUUCCUUGUUGCACUAAGCAGGUUGGGAAAGAGACUGCAAUCCUGUUCAGUGCAAUCCUCCCUGUAUUUGGGAUGCCUUUGGGAAUGUCAUCAGACAGAGGUUCCCACUUGACUGCAGAAACAAAAUGCUUCACUCUUGUUUUGCUCUUCUGACAACAGUUCAAACACUGUUGACGUGGGAGGAAAAUUUACAUGUCUUUUUAGUGCCAAAGGUGAUCCAAGUGUUGCCCACAAGUGUCUGUAUUAAGUAAGCAAGACUCUGUAAGGAAUCUGGAAACUGUGUGUGUAAUGUAAAGCCCUGUGUGGCUGUCACUGAAGUGCUGAGGCUGAACAACAGCCCCUGAGCCAAAGCUGAGCUCUAGAUGAACCUUCCAACCUAAUGGGCUGUGUCUCCAUGUAUCUGCUCCUGAGCUAAAACUGGGUCUAUUUGUUGGUACAAAUGUGGUGGGAUGGGACUCCACCUGUGUAUCUGCUCCUGAACCAAACAGGUGUGCUUCUUAGGAAGAUCUGUUAGUCUGGGCUCAUCAGUGAAUCCUGUUUGUAUCUGUUCCUUAACAAAAGAUGUCUGAUUGUGAGCAAAAUCUGAUCUUUCUGUAUCUGGAGAGUGGUGGAGGCCAUGGCAGUCGAUGUCUGGCCUUGUUUGGCAGUGGCUGGUGCAGGGGGAGCCUUGGUUUGGGAGAAGUAGAACAUUGCUCCCAAGAUUCUGCUCUGGCCAAAUAAGGAACAACAGAAUCUUAGAGAAGUCCUGGAGAAUUGGAUCAGGGCUGGAACUCAAGCAAACAGGAUGUGAGCUGAGCUCUGGGGACCCAGAGAAGAUCAAACCAAACAUGACGGUCUCUGUGGGGAAAAGCAGUGAUGCUGAGAACCGAGGUCAAGAAGCAGACACCUGAGCUUUGGGGGGCACCAGAUGCCAAAAAACCCACCAGAGACCCCCAGAGAAGACCCCAAAUGACCAAGUAGGGACUUGCAAUAGGGGUGUGACUGUGUAAAGCACAGUAAUGGACAUGUGUUCAGUAAGGGGGAAUAUCCAAUGCCUCUGGAAUCAGUGUGUGUAAUCCCAAGCCCUGCCUGUGUCCCUGAGCAGGCUGGAUUAGAAGAACUCUCCUGCAGGCGUCCAGCACGCUGCCCUAAAGAAUGCCUGCUUCUUAACACCUCCCAGCUGGGGUUAAGGACUUGCUUUCUGCUGCUUUUGGGCACCAUUUCUGGCCCCAGAUGGGACCCUCUGCCUGAUCUCCCGUGGAUCCGAGGGAUCUCUGGAUCUUCACGCCGGCCCCAGGACUUUCCUGGAGAAGACCACAGAUCCCUGGACUGGUCUGGGAUGGGGGAAGAUCCCAUUGGAUAAUAAGGCAUUCUUUUGGGGAAUCCUGUCCCUCUAAGACGUGUGGAUCUUCCAGCUCUUUGGGUGGGUUAUUUGGUGUUCCCCCAUUUGGUCUCUGGCUUUGUUUUCUCCACUGAUCCUUGUUUUGUGUUUGUAUUUGUUUCUGCACUGUAACAUUUGUCCAAGUGGGUUCUUGGUCCAAAACUGACCCCAGCUGUACAAGCAGUGAGUCAACAGUGUGGUGUGUGGAAGAGAAAUAAUCCAAACCCUGCCACUGGAGUGGGAACAGGUGAUGGAAAAUGUAGAAAUGCUGCAGGUGAAUGUUGGCAGAUGGAUGUGACUGAAUUGCCCAGAAAAUGGGGGUGUAAAGAUCUCCUGGUCUUGGGGGAUACCUUCUCUGGGUGGCCAGAGGCUGUUCCUUGUCACACCAACUGGGCUGGGGAAGUGAGUGGAAUAUUGUUGAAUCCAAGAAUCCCUGGAUUCGAGGUACAUUUGGGAAUGUCAUCAGACAGAGGAGCUCACUUGAUUGUAGAAGUGGUACAGCAAGUCAAAUCAGGGAUGCAUUAUUGCAGAAUUCCAAAGGCCAGAGCCCCUUGGGUAAUUGAGAGGUUGUCUGAGAAGAAACCAAAUGCUUAAGUCUGCUUUGGCUCUCCUGACAAUAGUUAAUUGGGUCUUGACUUGGGAGCAAAAUUUACAUCUCCUUUCAGUCUCAAACGUGACCCAAGUGUUGCCUCCAAGGGAUUGCUGGGUGUGCACUCCUUUACCUGAAAAGACAAGGAAGCCAUUCACCAUUUCUGCCUUCCCUGUUCUGGCAGAAAUGAUUCCUGGUCACUGGGUGAGCACUUGUGUUCCCCAAAAAGUAGACCAGCAGUCAGUGUGCAAGUACCCCCCCACCACCUCUGACAAUCCUGCCUGUGUCCAAAGCUGUGACCCCCACUAAAGGAACAGGACAAGUGGAUUGUGUUAAUGAGAGUGGCCCGUUUGUGGGAAAUCACCCCCAAUGUCCUCAAACCCUUCCUGCUGGGGAAAUGACUGAUCCUUGGCCGGUCCCCAAAGGAACGGGGUGGGAUUGGUGUGUGGAAAUAACACCUGGGAAGGGUUGCCCCAAAGCUGGAAGGGCAUUUGUAUUUCAGCUUGCAUCAGGAUUCAGUGCUGUAGCUGUUCUAAUGCCUUGAGCUGUAAAAUGAAAUAAAGCUCCUAAGACACUCCAUCCCUUCAGGAGCUUAGUCUGAAAAAAGGGGGAUUUGAUGUGGGAUAUAGAAGACUGCUCCCAACAUUUCUCUAUGGCCAAGGAAGGAGAACUGUAAUCUUGGAGAGGUCCUGGAGAACUGGAUCAGGGAUGUAACUAAGCAAACAGGAUGGAAGCUGAGCUCUGUGGGCCCAGAGAAGAUCAAACCCAAACGUUCCAGUCUUUGUGGUGAAAGGUAAUGACACUGUGUCUGCUCAGAACCGAGGUCAAGAAGUGGACACCUCAACUUUGGGGGGCACCAGAUACCAAAAAACCCACCAGAGAGCCCUGAAGGAGACCCCAAAGGACCAACUAAGGACUUGCAAUAGGGGGGCUGACUGUGUAAAGCAAAGUAACAUCUAUGUCUUAAGUAAGGGAGAAUAUCUAAUGAAUCUGGAAACUGUGUGUGUCAUGUAAAGCCCUGUGUGGCUGUCACUGAAGUGCUGAGGCUGAACAACAGGCCCUGAGCCAAAGCUGAGCUCUAGAUGAACCUUCCAACCUAACAGUCUGUUUAUCCCUGUAUUUGCUCCUUAGCUAAAACUGUGUAUGUUUGUUGGUCAAAGAUGCAGUGUGGAAAGACUCCCCGUGUACCUGCCCCUGAACAAAAUAAAUGUGCUUCUUAGUGAGA